GACGAACGCUGGCGGCGUGCUUAACACAUGCAAGUCGAACGGAAAGGCCCUGCUUUUGUGCGGUGCUCGAGUGCCGAACGCGUGAGUGACACGUGAGUAACCUGCCCUUGACUUUGGGAUAACUUCAGGAAACUGGGGCUAAUAUCGGAUAGGAUCUCCUGCUGCAUGGUGGGGGUUGGAAAGUUUCGGCGGUUGGGGAUGGACUCGCGGCUUAUCAGCUUGCUGGUGGGGUAGUGGCUUACCAAGGGUUUGACGGGUAGCCGGCCUGAGAGGGUGACCGGCCACCUUGGGACUGAGAGACGGCGCAGACGGCUACGGGAGGCAGCAGGGGGGAACAUGACACAAUGGGCGGGAGCGUGAUGCAGCAACGCCGCGUGCGGGAUGACGGCUUUCGGGGUGUAAACCGCUUUCGCCUGUGACGAAGCGUGAGUGACGGUAAUGGGUAAAGAAGCACCGGCUAACUACGUG
RNAcentral lists this ribosomal RNA (468 nucleotides) under uncultured bacterium. Its description in RNAcentral is "partial 16S ribosomal RNA". It matches the Rfam family "Bacterial small subunit ribosomal RNA", at positions 28 to 507 of the family's 1533-position model. The record is from RNAcentral.